GAUGAACGCUGGCGGCGUGCCUAAUACAUGCAAGUCGAGCGAACAGACGAGAGUGCUUGCACUCUCUGACGUUAGCGGCGGACGGGGGAGUAACACGUGGGUAACCUACCUAUAAGACUGGGAUAACUUCGGGAAACCGGAGCUAAUACCGGAUAAUAUUUAGCUUCGCAUGAAGCAAUAGUGAAAGACGGUUCUGCUGUCACUUAUAGAUGGACCCGCGGUGUAUUAGCUAGUUGGUGAGGUAACGGCUCACCAAGGCAACGAUACAUAGCCGACCUGAGAGGGUGAUCGGCCACACUGGGACUGAGACACGGCCCAGACUCCUACGGGAGGCAGCAGUAGGGAAUCUUCCGCAAAGGACGAAAGUCUGACGGAGCAAUGCCGCGUGAGUGAAGAAGGUUUUCGGAUCGUAAAACUCUGUUGUAAGGGAAGAACAAGUACGUUAGUAACUGAACGUACCUUGACGGUACCUUACCAGAAAGCCACGGCUAACUACGUG
RNAcentral lists this ribosomal RNA (499 nucleotides) under uncultured bacterium. RNAcentral's name for it is "partial 16S ribosomal RNA". It matches the Rfam family "Bacterial small subunit ribosomal RNA", at positions 28 to 507 of the family's 1533-position model. The record is from RNAcentral.